AGAGUUUGAUCCUGGCUCAGGAUGAACGCUGGCGGCGUGCCUAAGACAUGCAAGUCGAGCGGUAAGGCCCCUUCGGGGGUACACGAGCGGCGGACGGCAGAGUAACGCGUAGGAACCUACCCCAAACUGAGGGAUAAGCACCAGAAAUGGUGUCUAAUACCGCAUGUGCUCCUCGGAGUAAAGCUACGGCGGUUUGGGAAGGGCCUGCGUCUGAUUAGCUUGUUGGUAAGGUAAGGGCUUACCAAGGCGACGAUCGGUAGCUGGUCUGAGAGGAUGAUCAGCCUGACUGGGACUGAGAACGGCCCAGACUCCUACGGGAGGCAGCAGUCGGGAAUUUUCCACAAUGGGCGAAAGCCUGAUGGAGCAACGCCGCGUGCAGGAUGAAUGCCUUCGGGUUGUAAACUGCUUUUAUAUGUGACGAUUAUGACGGUAGCAUAUGAAUAAGGAUCGGCUAACUCCGUGCCAGCAGCCGCGGUCAUACGGAGGAUCCAAGCGUUAUCCGGAAUUACUGGGCGUAAAGAGUUGCGUAGGUGGCAGGGUAAGUUGAUAGUGAAAGCGUACGGCUCAACCGUAUAUCCAUUAUCAAAACUGCCCAGCUUGAGGGCGAGAGAGGUAGCUGGAAUUCCUAGUGUAGGAGUGAAAUCCGUAGAUAUUAGGAGGAACACCGAUGGCGUAGGCAGGCUACUGGCUCGUUCCUGACACUAAGCACGAAAGCGCGGGGAGUAAACGGGAUUAGAUACCCCGGUAAUCC
Molecule: ribosomal RNA, 751 nt
Filed under: uncultured bacterium
Lineage: Bacteria
Description: bacterial SSU rRNA
Rfam family: Bacterial small subunit ribosomal RNA
Source: RNAcentral